RNAcentral lists this ribosomal RNA (497 nucleotides) under uncultured bacterium. Its description in RNAcentral is "partial 16S ribosomal RNA". It matches the Rfam family "Bacterial small subunit ribosomal RNA", at positions 28 to 507 of the family's 1533-position model. The record is from RNAcentral.
GAUGAACGCUGGCGGCGUGCCUAAUACAUGCAAGUCGAGCGAACAGACGAGGAGCUUGCUCCUCUGACGUUAGCGGCGGACGGGUGAGUAACACGUGGAUAACCUACCUAUAAGACUGGGAUAACUUCGGGAAACCGGAGCUAAUACCGGAUAAUAUAUUGAACCGCAUGGUUCAAUAGUGAAAGACGGUUUUGCUGUCACUUAUAGAUGGAUCCGCGCCGCAUUAGCUAGUUGGUAAGGUAACGGCUUACCAAGGCAACGAUGCGUAGCCGACCUGAGAGGGUGAUCGGCCACACUGGAACUGAGACACGGUCCAGACUCCUACGGGAGGCAGCAGUAGGGAAUCUUCCGCAAAGGGCGAAAGCCUGACGGAGCAACGCCGCGUGAGUGAUGAAGGUCUUCGGAUCGUAAAACUCUUUUAUUAGGGAAGAACAAAUGUGUAAGUAACUAUGCACGUCUUGACGGUACCUAAUCAGAAAGCCACGGCUAACUACGUG